Molecule: unclassified non-coding RNA, 250 nt
Filed under: plant metagenome
Description: partial contains small subunit ribosomal RNA, internal transcribed spacer 1, and 5.8S ribosomal RNA
Rfam family: 5.8S ribosomal RNA (bases 175-239)
Source: RNAcentral
GUAGGUGAACCUGCGGAAGGAUCAUUCAUAAUAAGUGUUUUAUGGCACUUUUUAAAUCCAUAUCCACCUUGUGUGCAAUGUCGGUCGAUCUUCUUCAUGGAGAUCGACCAAACAUCAACCUUUAUCUUUUAACUCUUUGUCUGAAAAAUAUUAUGAAUAAACAAUUCAAAAUACAACUUUCAACAACGGAUCUCUUGGCUCUCGCAUCGAUGAAGAACGCAGCAUCUGACUGACUGUAACCGUAACCAUC